This 31-nucleotide small RNA is filed under the name Bombyx mori (domestic silkworm). RNAcentral's name for it is "ovarian small RNA-28323". Lineage: Eukaryota; Metazoa; Arthropoda; Insecta; Lepidoptera; Bombycidae. The record is from RNAcentral.
UCGACGGUCCGUAGACCCCACGUGGGGUUGG